UUGAAUGGAAAAUGUCCCCACGCUUGGUCUUCAGCUGGCUGUGCUCUUCUGGGAGUUGUUGGGAAUGAUACCAGAGGCCUUAACUGGGGGAGGUCUGUGGGCCACCUGAUCGGAGGUGUGCUCAUCAGGAUGUUGGCUGGAAGUUGGGUUCUGGUCUGCUACAAGGAACAAAGUUCUUCCCAUAACAAAGGCAGGUGCUUCGCCUUCAUUGUCUAAGUAAACCCUAGAGAGACUC
This is a long non-coding RNA of Microtus oregoni (creeping vole), 235 nucleotides long. RefSeq lists it as uncharacterized. NCBI's taxonomy places the organism in Eukaryota, Metazoa, Chordata, Mammalia, Rodentia, Cricetidae. The record is from RefSeq and is a predicted model, not a curated record. The transcript has 3 exons.